UUUAACUGAAGAGUUUGAUCAUGGCUCAGAUUGAACGCUGGCGGCAGGCUUAACACAUGCAAGUCGAGCGGGGGAAGGUAGCUUGCUACUGGACCUAGCGGCGGACGGGUGAGUAAUGCUUAGGAAUCUGCCUAUUAGUGGGGGACAACAUCUCGAAAGGGAUGCUAAUACCGCAUACGUCCUACGGGAGAAAGCAGGGGAUCUUCGGACCUUGCGCUAAUAGAUGAGCCUAAGUCGGAUUAGCUAGUUGGUGGGGUAAAGGCCUACCAAGGCGACGAUCUGUAGCGGGUCUGAGAGGAUGAUCCGCCACACUGGGACUGAGACACGGCCCAGACUCCUACGGGAGGCAGCAGUGGGGAAUAUUGGACAAUGGGGGGAACCCUGAUCCAGCCAUGCCGCGUGUGUGAAGAAGGCCUUAUGGUUGUAAAGCACUUUAAGCGAGGAGGAGGCUACUUUAGUUAAUACCUAGAGAUAGUGGACGUUACUCGCAGAAUAAGCACCGGCUAACUCUGUGCCAGCAGCCGCGGUAAUACAGAGGGUGCGAGCGUUAAUCGGAUUUACUGGGCGUAAAGCGUGCGUAGGCGGCUUAUUAAGUCGGAUGUGAAAUCCCCGAGCUUAACUUGGGAAUUGCAUUCGAUACUGGUGAGCUAGAGUAUGGGAGAGGAUGGUAGAAUUCCAGGUGUAGCGGUGAAAUGCGUAGAGAUCUGGAGGAAUACCGAUGGCGAAGGCAGCCAUCUGGCCUAAUACUGACGCUGAGGUACGAAAGCAUGGGGAGCAAACAGGAUUAGAUACCCUGGUAGUCCAUGCCGUAAACGAUGUCUACUAGCCGUUGGGGCCUUUGAGGCUUUAGUGGCGCAGCUAACGCGAUAAGUAGACCGCCUGGGGAGUACGGUCGCAAGACUAAAACUCAAAUGAAUUGACGGGGGCCCGCACAAGCGGUGGAGCAUGUGGU
This 952-nucleotide ribosomal RNA is filed under the name Acinetobacter baumannii. Its description in RNAcentral is "bacterial SSU rRNA". It matches the Rfam family "Bacterial small subunit ribosomal RNA", at positions 1 to 945 of the family's 1533-position model. The record is from RNAcentral. Lineage: Bacteria; Pseudomonadati; Pseudomonadota; Gammaproteobacteria; Moraxellales; Moraxellaceae.